GACGAACGCUGGCGGCGUGCUUAACACAUGCAAGUCGAACGGAAAGGCUCCAGCUUGCUGGUGUACUCGAGUGGCGAACGGGUGAGUAACACGUGGGUAAUCUGCCCUGCACUCUGGGAUAAGCCUGGGAAACUGGGUCUAAUACUGUAUAUGACCUGUCUCCUGAUGGGGUGUGGUGGAAAGUUUGUCGUUGUAGGAUGGGCCCGCGGCCUAUCGGCUUGUUGGGUGGGUGAUGGCCUACCAAGGCGACGACGGGUCGCCGGCAUGGGAGGGUGGACAGCCACCAUGGUACUGAGAUACGGCCCAGACUCCUAUGGGAGGCAGCAGUGGGGAAUAUUGCACAAUGGGAGGAAGCCUGAUGCAGAGACGCCGCGUGAGGGAAGACGGCCUUCGGGUUGUAAACCUCUUUCAGCAGGGACGAAGCGUAAGUGACGGUACCUGAAGAAGAAGCACCGGCUAACUACGUG
This 467-nucleotide ribosomal RNA is filed under the name uncultured bacterium. Its description in RNAcentral is "partial 16S ribosomal RNA". It matches the Rfam family "Bacterial small subunit ribosomal RNA", at positions 28 to 507 of the family's 1533-position model. The record is from RNAcentral.